Mugil cephalus (flathead mullet) is the source of this 779-nucleotide long non-coding RNA. RefSeq lists it as uncharacterized. The transcript has 3 exons. The record is from RefSeq and is a predicted model, not a curated record. NCBI's taxonomy places the organism in Eukaryota, Metazoa, Chordata, Actinopteri, Mugiliformes, Mugilidae.
AAAUCGCUGCGUCAGAAUGGACCUGACGCUCUUUGUGAGGCAAAUCACAAGGGGACCUGCUGUUGAUGAGAUACGGGCAGAUAAAGAAGAGAAUACAGAAUGAGUAGCUUUUCACAAGAAUAACGAGACUAAAAGUCGUUUUUUUUUUUUUUUUUCACAGAUAACGUUGUCCGUGUUUGUAGUUGUGACAGAUUAACAAGAUCAGCCCUAAAUGCCCACUGACGGCAAGCAAAUCGUGUGGCACCGCCUCCUCCACUUCUGGCUCAUCAUCUUGGGUGUUUCAACACUCACAACCACAAACUAGCAACAGACAUGGUGUAAAUAAGCAUCUCACAACAUUCACACAAAUGUGUCAAACAGCGCGUUGGUCUGUACCUGCAAUUUGAAGUAAAAGGACACGCAAGGGAGGGAUCCCAGAAACUACAAAAAUAUCUUCUCCAGAGACAUUUCUCCACUGCGGGCAAUGUAAAAUAAUCGUGCUGGGGAUGGCUGGUGCCAUCAAAGAGUGUCAUCGCUAUGGGGUGGGGGUGCUUGGUCUGGUCUGGUCUGGUCUAGACUGAGCCACAGCAGAAAAUCAUCCUACAAGAUGCGAAGACAGGAUUACUCACCGCGGGAUGCUGUGUACCGCCUGAUUAAAACGGGAAGUAGCAAAUAUGGAGCCUAUUGUGAAAAAUGUUUCCUCCUUUGGGGCAAUCAUUGAUUAUCCCUCCCUGUAAAAUCUUUGGUUGAUUAGACAUUUUUUUCAAAUUUCAAGAGAGCCUAUUUAGUCCCAAAGUGAA